This 236-nucleotide non-coding RNA is filed under the name Aplanochytrium stocchinoi. The record is from RNAcentral. Lineage: Eukaryota; Bigyra; Thraustochytrida; Thraustochytriidae.
GACUUACAAAAUUAAUAAUUAACUAUUGCUCAACUCGAAGUCAGUUAUAUUUCCUGUUUCCGUUUUUAGAUUAAGUGUCUGCUUCAAUCGGUCAGGCUUUGGUGGUAAGGGUGGUUUUAUAUCUUGAGACUUUGGAUAAAUGUUGAGAAUAUUUGCAUUUGAAAUAGUCUCAACUUCUGAAGCUAUCGGGGAUGUAGAAGAGCGCUCUUUGGAUAUUUCGGAAGACUCAGAGUGGG